Molecule: long non-coding RNA, 721 nt
Organism: Pipra filicauda (Wire-tailed manakin)
Lineage: Eukaryota; Metazoa; Chordata; Aves; Passeriformes; Pipridae
Exons: 2
Source: RefSeq, a predicted model, not a curated record
AAUGUCUCCACAGAGGGAGAGUCCACACCCGCCCUAGGCAGCUGUUCCAGGGCUCUGCCACCCUCCAUGGGAAGAAGUUUGUCUUCACGCUGAGGUGAGACUUCUUUAUGGUCAUUGUUCCUCGUCUUGUUGCUGGGUAUCACGGAAAAGAGUCUGGCACCAUCCUCUGACACCUGACUUGGAUAUAUUUAUAUGCAUUGAUGAGAUCCCCUCUCAGUCUUCUCUUCUCCAGACUAAACAAGCCCAGCUCCCACAGGAGGAGAAAUGGCACAGCCAAGCCUGGGACGUGCAGAGACAAAGCACAAGCGCCCCGGUGAGGGCUCAAGCUGGAAUCCGGAAAUAGUGACAUGAUUUUCCAAGAAGUGACCAAACAGAAAAGCUACCAGGAAAUGGAGAAGCACCAUCCAGUCACGAGACCAAGAACUACAGACUGGUGCUGCAUUCGGGGCUUGGUGGCUGAGGCAGCUCUGCACUGCAGCUGUCUCGUGCCAAGGGACCCCUUACCCCACAGGAACAAGUUCCUGAUGGAGAAUGUCCCCCCUGGAGACUCCCUUGUCCUACUCAGCUGCCAAAGGCUCUGGGUCAGAGCAGGGUCAGCACAGCUGUCCCAGCACAGCCACCCCCACCAGUGAGCCAAAGCCUUCAGGCUCUUGGGACCUACAUUUCAGUGAGUUCACCUCCCAUGGAGUUCAGCUUUCAGUAAAUCAGCACAACAAUCCUG